CGCAGCUUUGUCAAAUUCAGUGUUUCCUUGUCAGUGGACUGCACUGGCCAAAAUGGCUGCAACAUUAAAUAAGUGGUAAUGGGCCCCAUGUUCUUAUAAAGUGGAUGCUGGGGACAGAAAUCAAACUACGUACAAAC
Misgurnus anguillicaudatus (oriental weatherfish) is the source of this 137-nucleotide small nucleolar RNA. RefSeq annotates it as small nucleolar RNA SNORA5. The record is from RefSeq and is a predicted model, not a curated record. NCBI's taxonomy places the organism in Eukaryota, Metazoa, Chordata, Actinopteri, Cypriniformes, Cobitidae.